This is a non-coding RNA of Mycena metata, 95 nucleotides long. The record is from the annotation of a GenBank genome assembly. NCBI's taxonomy places the organism in Eukaryota, Fungi, Basidiomycota, Agaricomycetes, Agaricales, Mycenaceae.
GACCUGGUAGCACAGUUGGUAGUGCGUCUGCUAAAAUUAUGUCAACUUUGAAUACCUUCAAGCAGAAGAUCCCCGUUUGACUCGGGGUCAGGUCA